GGCGGCGUAGCUCAGCCUGGUAGAGCAAACGGCUCAUACCCGUUGUGUUCAGUGGUUCAAAUCCACUCGCCGCCACCA
Molecule: transfer RNA, 78 nt
Filed under: Candidatus Omnitrophota bacterium
Lineage: Bacteria; Pseudomonadati; Candidatus Omnitrophota
Description: tRNA-Met
Rfam family: tRNA
About the family: Transfer RNA (tRNA) molecules are approximately 80 nucleotides in length.
Source: RNAcentral